This 665-nucleotide long non-coding RNA is filed under the name Helianthus annuus (common sunflower). RNAcentral's name for it is "hypothetical non coding rna". The record is from RNAcentral. Lineage: Eukaryota; Viridiplantae; Streptophyta; Magnoliopsida; Asterales; Asteraceae.
UCAAACCCACCAUUGAAACAACCGCUAUCUACACAACCAAAUUUCAACUUACUGAUCUGUUUGCUGCCAGCCUUUCCAGAUCUGUUUCUUCCCAAUAACUCCGACUCACCUCUUCAGCCCCCAAAAGCCUCAAAUCUGAAACCUCGUUCACCCUCUUCAACCCUUGAAACCAUCAACAAUCAGAGACCUGUGUCAACAAAUUUUGAAUGGAGAAUCAGAUAUGAUGGUAGUAGAUUACAGAGGUGCAACGAUGGUGGUGCUUCACUGGAUAUGAAGUUCGUGGCGGUGGUGGUUGUAGUUGAUGCGUAGAUCAGAAAAAAAGCAGAAAUAGAUCAGAUCCAGAUUGUAGUUGACUCAAAUCUGACUUGGUUUCAUUUAAUUCAAAUAGAGCUAUAAAAAGUCAAAAAUCAGUACCUGUAAUGAUUAUUAAUAACGGAUUGGAUCGAUAAGCAUAACAACAUACAUGAUCGGGCAAGGAUCUGUACCACAAUUACAAACUCACCGUUUUCCCGUUGAUGAACGUGGUUGUCGUGAAAAACCUUCAGCUUGUGGAGGCUGUGAAUCUUGAAGAUAAUCAUAGAUCUGGUGCUUCAUUGGUGAUGUGGUGGUUACAUUAUAUUUGUUUUAUUUAUUAAAAUUCUUUUAAAGUUAAAAGACUAAUUUAC